GAGCUCGUCGCCACCGCGCGAUCUAACACCGACUACGUUUUCUCUACGUUUUAACGGACACGUGUCCUAUAUAUCACCGGAAACAGCCGGUGGUAUAGGGGCUAGCCACUAGUGCAGCCGGUCACUCACUCCCUGCAAUUCCCGCUGGAUAUAUAAUCGGCCUCCUCAAACCCUUUCUCUCUCUCGGUCGCUCCCUUCCUUUCCCUGAUUUCAGUUUCCCAAUUGAGAGAGAAAAAGUGAGGUUUUUGCUUUAUCCAGCUCGCUGUUUCAACUUUCAUGGUUAGUAGUUCUCCUCAUUAUAAUUAAUUUUUUUUUUUAAUGAUUCGAGCUUCUUUUCCUUUUAUUUUGUUCUUUAAAUUUGUUGUCUGUUCCCCUUUUAAGCAUUAAAUUUGGAUCGGUCACUUAGGCCUGAAAACUUAGUGUUUUAAGUUAAUGAUAUCCAUUUAAUGGAAUUUAUUUCCUUGAUUACCUGUUGAUCUUUCAGUCUAAGUUAUUAUUGAAGUGCUAUGUUAAGGUUAAACUGUUAAUUAUUAUGGGUAUUCUAAUUUGGGAAUUUGGCAAUAUCGAUUUCGAUUUGAGCAUGGUCACACUUUGUGAUUUUCAGUGUGUGUGAUUAAGUUGAAGUUAAGCUUGAUUAGUUGUUAAAAGCUCGAGUUGUGUAAUAUCAUCGCUAUUAGGCCUUAUAAUCUACAUAACUUUUGGGUUCACGUCAUAAGUCAGUCUCGUUGUCUCGGGGAACUUAACUGAAAAUUAGGGUUUUUUGGGGAAUAAUUGGGUAAGUAAGCUCUUUUCGUGCUUGAGGUGUCAUAGAUUGAAAGAUUUGGUGUUUCUGUUAUUCUUUCUAGUUUCUUGAUUUUUUUGUGAGGGAAGUUAUUUUAAAAAAUUUUAGUGCGUUAUUUUUGUUCCUAGUAUGUGUAUUUCUGCAGCUAAUGUUGUUAUUUGCUUUGUUUAUUGAACGUUGCUUAGAUCCCUACAACAAAUUGUUGAAAGCUCAAACAGAUCACAAAAUAUUGCACUCCAUUUGGUCCAAACAAGAGUCUCAGUGACACUAUUUGUACAAGGAAUCAGAUUUAGUUUUCUCUUUGGCUGGUGAAGGGGGAAUUGUGAUUCUAUUGUGUGGAAAUUUGUAUUUAUAUACUCUUUUGGGUUUUCUUUUUUUGGCAUGGGUUUCCGUUUUUAUAGGUGUUAAGCGGAUUGAGCAUAUUUAUUAUUAAAAAAAGUUACUGAUCAGGCCUAGCUCUGGAGAGCUACGUAGACUCUGGCCAUCAACGGGUGGUGCGUGCCAUGGCACCUUCUCGUGUGGCUGGAGGUUUAGCCCAGUCUUCCUCAAGUUCAGGAAUUUUCUUCCAGGGGGAUGGGGCUUUAGUUAACUCACACUUGACCUCAUCUUUUGGUAACUCAUCCAAUUCAAUUCCUGGAACUGGGCGACCCAAUCUGGGUCCCGUUUCUGGGGACAUGAAUAAUGCGGUUUUGAACAGCGUGGCAAACUCUGGACCAAGUGUCGGGGCAAGUUCUUUGGUGACAGAUGCAAAUUCAGCAUUUUCAGGAGGUCCCCAUUUGCAGAGAAGUGCUAGCAUCAAUACAGAGUCAUAUAUGCGCUUGCCGGCAUCUCCCAUGUCUUUUUCAUCCAAUAAUAUAAGCAUUUCAGGCUCGUCGGUUGUUGAUGGGUCCUCUGUAGUGCAGCAGGGAAAUCAUCAAGACCCAAGCACGCAGCAAGUCCAGCAGAAUCAGCAGCAGCAACAACAGGGGGCAUCAAGUGCUACAUCCCUGCCUUCUUCACAAGCUGCACAAGCUUCACUUCCCAUUGGCCCACGGGCUCCUGGUGCCUUCCUACAGGACCCUAAUAAUCCAUCCCAAGUGCAAAAGAAGCCAAGAUUGGAUAUCAAACAGGAAGAUAUUCUGCAGCAGCAAGUUUUCCAACAACUGCUUCAGAGACAGGACACCAUGCAGUUGCAGGGCCGAAGUCCACAUUUACAAAACUUGCUUCAUCAGCAGAGACUGAGGCAACAGCAGCAACUUUUCCAAUCUAUGCCACCUUUGCAGAGAGCCCACUUGCAGCAGCAGCAGCAGAUGCAGUUGAGGCAGCAAAUGCAGCAACAAUCCAUACAGCCAGUAUCUGCCAUGAAGCGUCCUCAUGACGGAGGUGUAUGUGCACGUCGAUUGAUGCAAUAUCUGUAUCAUCAACGGCAACGGCCAGCUGAGAAUUCUAUUGCCUAUUGGAAGAAAUUUGUGGCAGAGUAUUAUUCACCUCGUGCAAAGAAAAGAUGGUGCUUGUCA
RNAcentral lists this unclassified non-coding RNA (2277 nucleotides) under Hevea brasiliensis (rubber tree). Lineage: Eukaryota; Viridiplantae; Streptophyta; Magnoliopsida; Malpighiales; Euphorbiaceae. The record is from RNAcentral.